CCUACGGGUGGCAGCAGUGAGGAAUAUUGGUCAAUGGGCGGGAGCCUGAACCAGCCAAGUCGCGUGAGGGAAGACGGUCCUAUGGAUUGUAAACCUCUUUAGGCGGGGAGCAAUGCCGGGACCGUGUGCCCGGAGGGAGAGUACCCGCAGUAUAAGCAUCGGCUAACUCCGUGACAGCAGCCGCGGUAAUACGGGGGAUGCUAGCGGUAUCCGGAUUUAAUGGGUUUAAUGGGUGCGUAGGCGGAUUUUUAAGUCAGCGGGAAAAUGUCCUGGCUCAACCCGGGCCGGCCGUUGAAACUGGGGAUCUUGAGUGGGCGAGAGGUAUGCGGAAUGCGUGGUGUAGCGGUGAAAUGCAUAGAUAUCACGCAGAACUCCGAUUGCGAAGGCAGCAUACCGGCGCCCGACUGACGCUGAGGCACGAAAGCGUGGGGAUCGAACAGGAUUAGAUACCCCAGUAGUC
This 460-nucleotide ribosomal RNA is filed under the name uncultured bacterium. RNAcentral's name for it is "partial 16S ribosomal RNA". It matches the Rfam family "Bacterial small subunit ribosomal RNA", at positions 338 to 795 of the family's 1533-position model. The record is from RNAcentral.